GCCGGUGUGCCAGAAAGGUAAAUGGGGCGGUCUCGAAAACCGUUGCCCGAAAGGGCGCCUAGGUUCAAAUCCUAGCACCGGCG
This 83-nucleotide transfer RNA is filed under the name Candidatus Pacearchaeota archaeon. RNAcentral describes it as "tRNA-Ser". It matches the Rfam family "tRNA". Rfam says of the family: Transfer RNA (tRNA) molecules are approximately 80 nucleotides in length. Their secondary structure includes four short double-helical elements and three loops (D, anti-codon, and T loops). Further hydrogen bonds mediate the characteristic L-shaped molecular structure. tRNAs have two regions of fundamental functional importance: the anti-codon, which is responsible for specific mRNA codon recognition, and the 3' end, to which the tRNAs corresponding amino acid is attached (by aminoacyl-tRNA synthetases). tRNAs cope with the degeneracy of the genetic code in two manners: having more than one tRNA (with a specific anti-codon) for a particular amino acid; and 'wobble' base-pairing, i.e. permitting non-standard base-pairing at the 3rd anti-codon position. The record is from RNAcentral. Lineage: Archaea; Nanobdellati.